AAACGCCAUUUGCAGCAAACUUGUGUCGUCUGCAACAGAUGCUUUUUUCAAACCGCAAAAUGAAGACAUUUGAACCGUUCAGCGCCGUUUUGAUUAAGACUUCUGGAGUUUUGUUGCGGUGGAGUUUAUGUUUACGAAAUCAGGCGUUAUAGAAGAAACUGAAUACACGCUAUGGAGGCUCAGGCAUGGAGGAGGAUGCUCCCAUUCCUAGCAAGAGACCAAGGCUAUUUCAAUCCGGACCAGACAUUUUGAAGUGUAUCAUCUUUCAAAAAGAUACAGACCAGUUUACAACGAGUUCAGAAAAUGGGAGAUCGAAAGUAAAAGAAGCAGCAAGUAUCAGAAAUGACUGUGUCAAUGAACGUUUACUUAGACUUGAAUCUGAUUUCUUUGUGUAUCAUAUUUCAUAUAUGUGUUAUAAAGCAUACACCCAUAAUAAAUCUUUAGAUAAAAUA
This is a long non-coding RNA of Dreissena polymorpha, 452 nucleotides long. RefSeq lists it as uncharacterized. The transcript has 3 exons. The record is from RefSeq and is a predicted model, not a curated record. NCBI's taxonomy places the organism in Eukaryota, Metazoa, Mollusca, Bivalvia, Myida, Dreissenidae.